AUCUGAUUUCUUAUCCUUCUCACCGCUCAACUCCUAUCCCUUAUCCUUCCACGAUGUGCUCGUCGGCUGCCCUGCAGUUCCCCCAUGGACGCCUCCUUUCUAAUCUGUGUGCAGGGGUUUCCUUCCCAUGGUCGCCCUCAACCCCAUGGUCGACCUCGCCUAGCCCUUCCCCCAUCUCCUCCCCAAGCUCGGCUCGGCAUGGAGGCUGGCCACAGGACGCAGCACACCAACCUCACCGGCCAUACCCUCUGCUUUUCCCCACUGUCCGCAGCCCCGGUGUCGUCGUCGUGAUUAGACAUGUGUGGCGAAAAGAAAGAUUCUAGAGUUUGGUGGGAAAGGAAAGCUCUAUCACGACGAUCACCAGGUACGUUCAUUGAUCACGUAUUGUGGAGGACAACAACAACUGGAAUAAUCUCAAAGUGGGAUUGAUGAAUGAACCCAAAGCUGAAUGAUCUGAUCGUACUGGAAUGGGAGGUGCUCGCCAAGCGAGUAUCAUCUAACAACACUGACUUAGUGUUUAUCCCAGGCAAGCCCCGGUGCAUUUGCUACCUCCUUGUUGUUAUAAAACUUUUAUCACUUAUAUGUUGCAUUAGGUGAUAGGAGUUGAGUGAUGAAACAAUUGAUGCAAUGCCAUUCCUUGGAAUUUGAUUACUAUUCCUUGAUUCCUGUUUAUAAAA
Zea mays is the source of this 677-nucleotide RNA transcript. RefSeq lists it as uncharacterized. The transcript is spliced from 3 exons. The record is from RefSeq and is marked validated. NCBI's taxonomy places the organism in Eukaryota, Viridiplantae, Streptophyta, Magnoliopsida, Poales, Poaceae.